AGUGGAACUGCUAGUUCAUAGGUAAUUCUAUGUUUAACUUUUUGAGAAACUGACAGACUGUGUCUCAAAGUGACUGUACCAGUUUCCAUUCCCACCAGCAGU
This 102-nucleotide microRNA precursor is filed under the name Marmota monax (woodchuck). The record is from RNAcentral. Lineage: Eukaryota; Metazoa; Chordata; Mammalia; Rodentia; Sciuridae.